RNAcentral lists this ribosomal RNA (492 nucleotides) under uncultured bacterium. RNAcentral describes it as "partial 16S ribosomal RNA". It matches the Rfam family "Bacterial small subunit ribosomal RNA", at positions 30 to 507 of the family's 1533-position model. The record is from RNAcentral.
AGUGAACGCUGGCGGCAGGCCUAACACAUGCAAGUCGAGCGGAUGAACGGUGAGUGCUUGUGGAUACAGCGGGGGACGGGCGGGCGAGGGCUGAGAACAUGGGUGUUUGUGUGUGAGUGGGGGCGGAAGUGGGGGCUAUUACCGUAUACCCCCUUACGGCGUACGGGGGGGAGCAGCGGACCUCACGCUCUCGGGUGAUCGUAUGUGGCGAUGUCGGAUUAGCUAGUUGGCGGGGUAAAGGCCCACCAAGGCGACGAUCCGUAGCUGGUCUGAGAGGAUGAUCAGCCACACUGGAACUGAGACACGGUCCAGACUCCUACGGGAGGCAGCAGUGGGGAAUAUUGGACAAUGGGCGCAAGCCUGAUCCAGCCAUACCGCGUGGGUGAAGAAGGCCUUCGGGUUGUAAAGCCCUUUUGUUGGGAAAGAAAAGCAGCAGGUUAAUACCCCGCUGUUCUGACGGUACCCAAAGAAUAAGCACCGGCUAACUUCGUG